RNA transcript from Zea mays, 1183 nucleotides. It is a transcript of the gene named transcription factor bHLH84, with no coding region annotated. The transcript has 5 exons. The record is from RefSeq and is a predicted model, not a curated record. Lineage: Eukaryota; Viridiplantae; Streptophyta; Magnoliopsida; Poales; Poaceae.
ACAAGGCAGGAGCAUUCAGGCAUUGUAGCAGCAGCAGCAGCAGAAUUUCUCCGAGCUGUAGUCUCUCCUUGCCUUGAGCCCUCCUCCCACGUUACUACUAAAAUGGAGGGAUCCUACGCUCCAUCUGCGCCAACAAUGGAGAUCGACAUGAUGGCUCAGUUUCUUGGGGCGGCUGAUGAUCACUGCUUCACCUACGAGUAUGAGCAUGUGGAUGAGUCCAUGGAAGCAAUAGCAGCCCUGUUCUUGCCUACCCUUGACACCGACUCCGCCAACUUCUCCUCUAGCUGUUUCAACUAUGCUGUCCCUCCACAGUGCUGGCCUCAGCCAGACCAUAGCUCUAGCGUUACCAGUUUGCUUGAUCCAGCCGAGAACUUUGAGUUUCCAGUCAGGGACCCGCUCCCCCCAAGCGGCUUCGAUCCACAUUGCGCUGUCGCCUACCUCACUGAGGAUUCGAGCCCUCUGCAUGGCAAACGUUCAUCAGUCAUUGAGGAAGAAGCAGCCAACGCCGCACCUGCUGCUAAGAAGAGGAAGGCUGGUGCUAGUGCUACCACCAAGGGAUCAAAGAAAUCCAGGAAGGCGAGCAAAAAGGAUAACAUCGGCGACGCCGACGAUGAUGGCGGCUAUGCCUGUGUUGACACGCAAAGCUCCAGUAGCUGCACCUCCGAGGACGGGAACUUCGAAGGAAAUACGAAUUCAAGCUCCAAGAAGACCUGCGCCAGGGCCAGCCGCGGAGCAGCAACUGAACCUCAGAGUCUCUAUGCAAGGGUAAAAGAGGAGAGAGAGGAUCAACGAAAGGUUGAGAAUCUUGCAGAACUUGGUUCCAAAUGGAACAAAAGUUGACAUUAGCACGAUGCUCGAGGAAGCGGCGCAGUAUGUCAAGUUUUUACAGCUCCAGAUUAAGCUGUUGAGCUGUGACGACACAUGGAUGUAUGCGCCAAUCGCGUACAAUGGAAUUAACAUCGGCAAUGUUGAUCUGAACAUCUACUCUCUGCAAAAGUAAUAAAAAUGAAUCUCUAUCCGGAGCUACGGUGCUAGGUUCUAACAUUGAAUCGCGUAGGAAUCAUUUUGUUGUGGAUCAUAUGGUCCCCUGUAUCAUACUUGUAAUGAAGCACCUUUUUCAGUUUCUUUUGUUUUUGCUUCUUGGUAUCUCCAACAAAGGCAUACAAGGAAGUUGCUGUGACCA